AUUUAUAUAAUAUAUUUAGUAUAUUUGACUUCCAAUCAAACAGUUUAAUCAAUUUUAAUAUAAAUA
Molecule: transfer RNA, 66 nt
Filed under: Delias belladonna
Lineage: Eukaryota; Metazoa; Arthropoda; Insecta; Lepidoptera; Pieridae
Description: tRNA-Gly
Source: RNAcentral